AAAUGUGCAGAAUUUGUUGAAGAAGAUUUCACAGAAUAGGAUCAAAUAAUAAUAAAUGUCGAUGCAUAUCAUCCAAGUACGUAUUUAAUUCGGGAUCUGUUGGAGGAAAGGAAUACAUAGGGAGCAAAACAAGGUACCCUUCAUAUUUAACAAUACAUUCACUGUCAGAAGAAUUCUUGGAAGAUAAUAGAAGCAACCCUUAACAUAAGUAGGGUAGGAGCUCUGAGAAUCUGUAUAUAUACAUUUCAUAGUAAAGUUUUGGAAGAUGGCGAAUAACUUGUAGAAAACAUACAGAAACAACCUAAAUAGGGAAAAAAAAUCAAAGAUACAAGCAGCUGAGUGACAGCAAAAAAAAAAAUUCAGAUUACAAAAAUUAAAAAGAGGAGGAGAUUACAAGAGAUAAUGAGAUUUAAUCUUUGACCUGAAGAAACAUGGUUGCAUUUUUAACAGACCAUUUUUUUAAGUUACUUCAAUCAGCUCUUCUAAUGUAAGGACAUCUUAGCAGAAAGUUUAUCUGCAAGUUACUGCUUUCACUUUCACUGCCUAGUGUAAACUGCUGCAUCCCUCCUCUCCAGUGACACAUAGCAACAACUGGUGAACGUUAAAGCACAGGCAGUCAAAUACCAUAACUGGGAUUGUUAAAAUGGAAAAACUUAGCUUAUAUGCAGUUGAUAUGGUAUCCAGCUACUGCACAAGCAAGUCAUUAGCACUGUGUUUUAACAAAAUGAGAUUGUAAUUAGGUGCCUUUGAUUCUAAAGCAGAAUGAGUUGCACAUUUCUGGCUGCUUUUCCCAAAGCAUGACAUCAGAGUAAUCAGCCAUAGACUGUCAUUCUUUGCUCACUCCACAUUUUUGCUCCAUUAGUAACUCACAACUACUCCCUGAGCAAGAUGAGAUUCUCAGUCAUCAGUGAGCAAUAAAUAUCUCUGCCAGGCUUGAUAAGAUUUCUCAGACACAUAUAGUACUUUUUGGUUUAUUCCUGUUUUUCAAUUUCACAAGCUGUCUCUCUGUCAAAGUCAGGUCUGGAUCACUGUUGAAUUGUGGUUGCUUGGCCUCAGCAGGAAUUAAGAGUGUUCCUUUGUAGUAACUGUCUUGAAUGGAAUAGCACCAUCAGAAUAGCUUGCUUUCUGUCCACAAUGUGGGCAGACUAUCCAGAGAAUUGCAGCAGCCCCAGUUCCCUCCUGUUGCAGUGACCCCAUGGGUCACUAGCUGCAGACAAAUAGGGGAACCCUCUUUCCUACAUUCGGCUGUGGCCACUGCAGCCUGGCUGAAGGACUGGGAAAUCCUACAGUCCUCAACUUUAGUUUAGUUACCUGUAGUCCUUCUCUUGGGAUCUGAGCAUAGUCUUGUUGGCCCAUAGACUUCACCAAGAACUCUGUGCUUUAAAUAAUUAUAGCAUUGGGUGCAGAAUCUGGAAUUAGACAUCUCAAAAUGGAGAUUUAUGACUACAUUGACCAGCUAUUCCCCAAAAUAUGUGGUAUUACUAGAGGACGUCACAAAUGAUGUGUGAAAUGAGACACCUUUGCAGAUUGGCAGUGCACAAAGAGGAUGAAGAAAAUGACAUGUAAUUAUUACUGUGCUAUUAGCUGUGAUAUUCAACUUACGCAAAGACAGAAAAGUCCAAUAAAGCCAAAAGCUUUAGAUUUGUUUUAAAAAGAAUAAACUGCUUGGAAAUGUCUUUCUCAAAAAUUUCACCAGAACACUCUUCCGGAAGAGAGAAGGGUCCAAAGGAAGAAAGGGAGGCAUUUUAAAUUAUUGGACUCAUUUUAAAGUUUAUUCCCUCCUUUUUCUUUAUUUGAAAAAAUGCAAAUACCUUUCAGACCCAUUAACAUUAAAUACUGGGGGGUGAGAAGGAGAAAGUCUAUGACAAUAUUAAAGUUUUGGGAGGAUUCUGGAUGUACCUCUGUCAACAGAUGCAGUGUUUUUGCAUUUACAGACAGAAAUGAAAAAAAGGUAUGUCUGCCAAAAGGUGGAUUAAGGAUUAGUUAAGAAUAUUUAUUUAAUUUUGUGAAUUUGGGUUUUGUGGCAAAUUAUAAAGAAUAAUGUGAAAGACAAAAUGUUGGCAAAACAUCUUAAAUACAACUGAGGAAAGUGCAUGCACUAGUGUCUGACAUCAAUCCUGUAAGCUUCUCUGAGGUGGUUCCAAUAAAUUCAGAAAGCCCUUACACAUUUUGAGAUAGAUAUGUCAGGAAAAUCAGAAUCCUUCCAGUUCUGAAAGAUGAACAGUAUUAUUUAUCUAUAAAAUGUUUUGUAAUGAAGUUACAUGUGCAGAGAAAAUUGAAGAAUAUUAAUCCUGAGUGUUUUGUCUGCUAUGUGGCAAACAGAUUUUUUUCACCUGUCCACUGGAUGCUUUUCUUCUUUUAGUUUUAUCGAUAAAUGCAUAACAAAAGUUUGUAAAUGCUGCAAGAUAAUUUUAUUAAGAAAAUAAAAAGUUCGCUACAUAUCAUCAAUGUACACAAUUUCAAUCAAGAGCUGGCUAGCAGAUCAUCAAAGGAUACAUUAAAUUGAUAUUGAAUUGUUUCUAAUUGUAUCCAGCAGGCACCUUUACUAGGCCCGGUGCUAUUCAGUAUUCCCAGCAGAGACCCAGAGGUACAAAUUACCGUGCUGAGGAUCCGAGGAUGAUGGAAAGAUUACUCGGUGAGUACGUAAUUAUGAAACCAAGGAAGAGGAGAUCUCUUUAUCAGCUAGAUCCAGUGCAAGAAAUUAGCACCUUAGGAGACAUGAAUACAUAGUUAAAUAUAAUACAAAUGGAUUUCACCCCCCCCAAAAAUGGAGUACAGUGACAUGGAGUGCCUCAACUCUACAAGGAUUUAGGGGCCAUAGCGGACCAGCAACCCAACACGAGCUCCCACCAUGAAGCUGCAUAAGCAGAGAAUGUAAUCCUUGAAUCCUGAUGCAAUUGUUGGAAUAAUUCCCAGAGAUCUGUUGUCCAUAUUUUAAUGAGAAUGGUGGGGAAAAAAUGGCGACUUCACAAAAUAGCAUUUAAAAUUAAUUUGAGAGCAGAAGAAAAUUAUUGCUGUGAAAGCAUAAACUCUUUGAUAAAGACAUAACUUAAUGUCUUUGAGAAAGGAGGGCUGAGUAUGACUUGAUUAAAAUUUAUAGAUCAUAGGAGAAAAGCCUCACACACAGAUUCUUUAUCCUGAAGGGGAUCAUAACAACCACCCAACCACUUCCACCAUCACCCCAAAUAAACAAAUAAAUACAUAAAUAAAUAAACAACACUGAAAAAUCAGAAACAAAAUCAUUUUUUGCUUAUGAAAAUAAGUAUGAACUAUAUUGCCCAAAAAUGAGAAAUCAUGCCUACUGGCAUAUCUUCAAAUCAUGAUACAAUUUAAAAUUUCACCAUAAAUUACCUAUUCCUUAGUUAAAUGAUAAUUUAAUUGGACUUGAUACCAAAUUAUUAAAUUGAUAACAUUUAAAGGUCUUCAACAUACCCACAAACUAGCUGAGUUUGGAUUUCAGAAAUCCAAAACACAAUAGAAGAAAAAAUAAAAUACAAAUAAAUUAAAAUUAUCUAUUCAAAAUUACACUGUCUGAAGAUCUGUGGUCUGACUUGAGACUUUUUUUAUAAUCCUAAGUGAGGACUCUAAACCAUAUGCUCCACUGUGGUAUGUAUUGCACAACUAUGGAAAAUGUCUUAAUGUAGGUAUUUUUCAUUCACAUAAAAUUGUCUGUAAGAAUUUAUAUCCCAGCUGGUAUGAUGUUAUACAGAAACAAUAUCAUGUGUUGUUCUGCAAGUUGUGCAUAUGUUUAGUUUCUGAGGCCAAAAAUCAGGAUGUGGUUUGAAGAAAAGUGGGAGGAGUCAACUAGUAAAAGUGUUAUACCAUAUGACAACCUCAAAAAAAAGAGUAUAUCAGUUGGGAAAAUAUAUAGCAGAAGCAGAGGCUGCCUUUACUGCAAUAACCAGUGAUCUGCUGUGCACAUGUGCACAUUCUCAUACCACUCAUAUAGUUUAAAAGUAUAGCAUUGCAACCUGAUUUUGCAGUUGGAACAUCUGUAACAAUACAGAAAAAAAUCACUUUUUUGUGAUGCAAUCUGCUACUUUUUGCCAGCAUUAUUUACUCUGAAUUUCAGUAUAUUAGAUAUAUACCAAAUUAUUAAUACUUUUUUAUUAGAUAUUAGAUAUCUAUUACUGUUAUUAGUUUUAUUAUCAUUAUUAUUACUUAUCAUAUGGCUUUCAUAUCUAAGACAGGAGACAGUGUGGUUAUGUCCCACUGUAGAGAAGUACACUUGUAGGCUUGCUGCUGAUCUAGUGAGGCUUCUGAGUAAUUUCCUGCUAAAAGGUAAUGGUCUGCAAGUCAACUCAGUGGUUUUUAAGGGUACAAGGAUGAUAGCAGUCAUGAUUUGGAAAGUGCCCAACCUGUAAAAUAUUUAACAUGCCUCAUCCUCAGGUGAGUCACACAUCUUCUUAAGUCCAAAAAUGUUUUACUGACAGACCUAAUAGAACCAAUUGGAAACAUUUUUUUUUUUGAUCCUUACAUUAACAUACUAGGUCUCCUUGUGUAUUUAACUUGGGUUAGAGAUUCACAGUGCAGUGAAAGUAAACAGCUUCCAUCUCAGAGCACACAUAACACAUUAAUUAAAAACAAAUCUUCAAAAGCAGUUUAUGUACAUCUACUCUUGAUACAUAAGCCUGUUGAAAUUGUAGGGAAAACAGCCUUUUUGAGGAAAUCACAGGAUUUGUAGCUCCCUGACUGUUUUCUGUAUUCAUUUUUUAAAGUGUGUUGAAAUUUUCAGGUUCCAUAUGGACACAUUUAGUCACCUAAAUUUGUCUAUUAGGUUCAAUAAGGGUUUUAGUAAUUAUUUUUUUAAUUAUAUGUUUUCUGACUGUAUGAUUGAUGAAAAUAAAUAAUCACCAGAUGGAAUGAAGUUCUGCUGCUUGAACUUAUGCAAGUAAUGCAGUUAAAGUAACUUGAAAUAACAACAUGCACAAAUUAGUCAUUUUCAAAAUUAAAACAUAAGCCCUAAAGAUGUUUCUAUUUAUUUAAAUCACUCUGGAUUUAAUUAAAGACAGAUAACAAAUUGUUAUCAAAGGUUAAUCUAUUUUUGAGCCUUUAAUUCACCAACAAGUAUAACACAUCCAUUUUUAUCAUACAGUAAUUAUGGUAGAGUAGAUACAUUAUCAGGCUCUAUUAUAGUAGAGCCUGAUACAUUUGGUGGCAUCUUGUGAGUGUGUCAGUGAUAAGUGACAAGCAUUUCAUACACCUGUGCUUCACCUGUGAGCUGGCACUUACCACUGGCAAAAUUUCAGGUGACAGACACUAUUGUCCCUUCACUGAUAACCUAAAGAGAAAAAUGUUGCAUUCUUUCUUUUGAUACUAUGAUAAAAAAAUCGUAAUUCUGUAUCUGCUUUGUUAAUUGCCUUUCCUACCCUUAAAUGGUGAAAGUUUCAGACAGGAGUCAAAUUAUGGGGCUUCUUAUGUCUCUAGCCUUAUAAACUUGGGCCCUUGCUCCAGGCCAGAACGCAUUUCAAGACUGUUUGCAAGAGCACGGAGCUACACUUGGGGUCAAGGUAUAGGAUAUGCCAGAGGACAAAUCUGCACAGUCCCAUUGCAUCACUCUGUGGUGACAACCAGCCACACUAGAGCAGAGCUAAAGGCUGGCAACAUGGGGCAGGGGUCAGGAGACACCACCCUAGGCAUACUCCUUGCC
This is a long non-coding RNA of Taeniopygia guttata (zebra finch), 5650 nucleotides long. The record is from Ensembl. Lineage: Eukaryota; Metazoa; Chordata; Aves; Passeriformes; Estrildidae.